UGGGGAAUUUUGGACAAUGGGGGAAACCCUGAUCCAGCCAUCCCGCGUGUGCGAUGAAGGCCUUCGGGUUGUAAAGCACUUUUGGCAGGAAAGAAACGUCAUGGGUUAAUACCCCGUGAAACUGACGGUACCUGCAGAAUAAGCACCGGCUAACUACGUGCCAGCAGCCGCGGUAAUACGUAGGGUGCAAGCGUUAAUCGGAAUUACUGGGCGUAAAGCGUGCGCAGGCGGUUCGGAAAGAAAGAUGUGAAAUCCCAGAGCUCAACUUUGGAACUGGAAUUUUAACUACCGGGCUAGAGUGUGUCAGAGGGAGGUGGAAUUCCGCGUGUAGCAGUGAAAUACGUAGAUAUGCGGAGGAACACCGAUGGCGAAGUCAGCCUCCUGGGAUAACACUGACGCUCAUGCACGAAAGCGUGGGGAGCAAACAGG
RNAcentral lists this ribosomal RNA (429 nucleotides) under Acidobacteriota bacterium. RNAcentral's name for it is "Acidobacteria bacterium partial 16S ribosomal RNA". It matches the Rfam family "Bacterial small subunit ribosomal RNA", at positions 355 to 776 of the family's 1533-position model. The record is from RNAcentral. Lineage: Bacteria; Pseudomonadati; Acidobacteriota.